AGAGUUUGAUCCUGGCUCAGAACGAACGCUGGCGGCAGGCCUAACACAUGCAAGUCGAGCGCACCCUUCGGGGCGAGCGGCGGACGGGUUAGUAACGCGUGGGAACGUACCCUUGUCUACGGAAUAGCCUUUGGAAACGAAGAGUAAUACCGUAUACGCCCUUCGGGGGAAAGAUUUAUCGGACAAGGAUCGGCCCGCGUUAGAUUAGAUAGUUGGUGGGGUAAUGGCCUACCAAGUCUACGAUCUAUAGCUGGUUUUAGAGGAUGAUCAGCAACACUGGGACUGAGACACGGCCCAGACUCCUACGGGAGGCAGCAGUGGGGAAUCUUAGACAAUGGGCGCAAGCCUGAUCUAGCCAUGCCGCGUGUGUGAUGAAGGCCCUAGGGUCGUAAAGCACUUUCGCCAGGGAUGAUAAUGACAGUACCUGGUAAAGAAACCCCGGCUAACUCCGUGCCAGCAGCCGCGGUAAUACGGAGGGGGUUAGCGUUGUUCGGAAUUACUGGGCGUAAAGCGCACGUAGGCGGAUCAGAAAGUAGGGGGUGAAAUCCCGAGGCUCAACCUCGGAACUGCCUCCUAAACUCCUGGUCUUGAGUUCGAGAGAGGUGAGUGGAAUUCCAAGUGUAGAGGUGAAAUUCGUAGAUAUUUGGAGGAACACCAGUGGCGAAGGCGGCUCACUGGCUCGAUACUGACGCUGAGGUGCGAAAGUGUGGGGAGCAAACAGGAUUAGAUACCCUGGUAGUCCACACCGUAAACGAUGAAUGCCAGUCGUCGGGCAGUAUACUGUUCGGUGACACACCUAACGGAUUAAGCAUUCCGCCUGGGGAGUACGGUCGCAAGAUUAAAACUCAAAGGAAUUGACGG
RNAcentral lists this ribosomal RNA (861 nucleotides) under uncultured bacterium. Its description in RNAcentral is "bacterial SSU rRNA". It matches the Rfam family "Bacterial small subunit ribosomal RNA", at positions 8 to 916 of the family's 1533-position model. The record is from RNAcentral.